Molecule: ribosomal RNA, 460 nt
Filed under: uncultured bacterium
Lineage: Bacteria
Description: partial 16S ribosomal RNA
Rfam family: Bacterial small subunit ribosomal RNA
Source: RNAcentral
CCUAAGGGCGCAGCAGUGAGGAAUAUUGGUCAAUGGGCGGAAGCCUGAACCAGCCAAGUCGCGUGAGGGAAUAAGGCCCUACGGGUCGUAAACCUCUUUUGCCGGGGAGCAAGGGCCCGGCCGCGUCCCGGCCCUGAGAGUACCCGGAGAAAAAGCAUCGGCUAACUCCGUGCCAGCAGCCGCGGUAAUACGGAGGAUGCAAGCGUUAUCCGGAUUUACUGGGUGUAAAGGGCGUGUAGGCGGGGAAGCAAGUCAGAUGUGAAAACCAGGGGCUCAACCUGGGGCCUGCAUUGGAAACUGUUUUUCUUGAGUGCUGGAGAGGCAGACGGAAUUCCUAGUGUAGCGGUGAAAUGCGUAGAUAUUAGGAGGAACACCAGUGGCGAAGGCGGUCUGCUGGACAGCAACUGACGCUGAGGCGCGAAGGCGUGGGGAGCAAACAGGAUUAGAUACCCCAGUAGUC